CAGAACUCGAGAGGGUCUAGUUGAACUCGUGUACGAUCCAAAUUUAACAAAAUCCCCUUCAACUUGGAAUCCCCUGAGCCAUACGCUCGUAUGAAAGGUUCAAAGUUCUGAACCCUCCAUUGUGAAGUACCUCUCUGUGGCUCCUAAACCCUUUUCCAAGUUUAACCUGAAAAUUACACUUAAACCAGUCCUCUUCAACUUCAACCAUUGUUUUUCUUGUCCUAACUUCCAAUCCAACUACCCUUCUCUCUUCAAGUUCCUAGCAGAAAAAUGCAUGUCCAGUCCUUGCUUCAUUCUUCUCACACUCCUUUCCAAACCCUAGAACCCAGAUUUUUUUCUCAGUCUUUAUUUCUCUCCAAGAAGCUUCCUCCAUUGCUAGCUGCACCCGAGGACUUCCGCAGCUCCUUUUUGCCUCCAAGCUUACGCACUAUUAAAUCAAGAAGCAGACUUGUCACUCCUUGCGUAAGUCCCAGCCAAGAACUUGUCGAUAAUACUGUGAGCGAAAAUGAUGCUAAUAUUGCUUCAGAUUCGCUCUGUAAUGAAGAAGAAAAGGAAGAGGAAAUGAAAAUGGAGGUUAGCAGCAGAGAGGUAUUGGAGAAUCAGAGCUUAUGGAAUCAAAUUAAAGAGAUUGUGAAGUUUACAGCACCCGCCACUGGGCUAUGGAUUUGUGGGCCGUUGAUGAGUCUUAUUGACACUGCUGUUAUUGGCCAAGGAAGCUCCCUUGAGCUUGCUGCUUUGGGUCCUGGGACAGUUUUGUGUGACAACAUGAGUUAUGUGUUCAUGUUUCUUUCAAUUUCUACAUCGAAUAUGGUUGCCACUUCCCUUGCCAAACAGGUACCCAAGACUAUCUAAUAUGUCUCUAUGCCGGUUUAUGCCUAAGUUGAACAAAGCUAACACAAUAAUUUGGGAUGAUAAUCUUUUGAGAAGCUAAUAAAAGCAACCAUAUAUUGGGGCGGUGCUGUUUCGGGGGGGAGCUCUGUUUGACUAUGCACAAUUGGUGCAGGAUGAAAAUGAAGUGCAGCAUCAACUAUCUGUCUUACUCUUUAUUGGAUUGACUUGUGGCUUCCUAAUGGUUCUCUUCACCAAGUUCUUUGCUGCAUCAGUAUUAGCUGGUAAUAGAGACUGCUUUUACAGGUUCCAAUAAUUUACAUAUUGUUCCUGCAGCAAACAAAUAUGUUCAGGUUUAUUCUCUUUAAAAUAAAUGUAUUUCUUUUAUUCUCCUUUGUGUUAUUGGUGAAUCUUAGUAAAAUAUAUGCAUACAAAGAGAAGAAUAAUAGUAUCAUGGAAGUUGGAAUUUUCCUUUGAUUUCAUUUGCUUGCUAUUAAUCUUUUGAAUUCAAUACUCAUUUUCUAUUAUCAUUCUUUGUCAUUGUUCACAUUUAUCUGCUUUAUUUUCAGAAUACAAAAGCAAAGACAGCACCAAACAAAUUGUAAAAACUGAAUUGAACUUGAAACAAG
This 1457-nucleotide unclassified non-coding RNA is filed under the name Hevea brasiliensis (rubber tree). The record is from RNAcentral. Lineage: Eukaryota; Viridiplantae; Streptophyta; Magnoliopsida; Malpighiales; Euphorbiaceae.